This 463-nucleotide ribosomal RNA is filed under the name uncultured bacterium. Its description in RNAcentral is "partial 16S ribosomal RNA". It matches the Rfam family "Bacterial small subunit ribosomal RNA", at positions 28 to 507 of the family's 1533-position model. The record is from RNAcentral.
GAUGAACGCUGACAGAAUGCUUAACACAUGCAAGUCGAUGGGGAAGUGGUGCUUGCACCCUGGUAACCAUGGCGGACGGGUGAGUAACGCGUAAGGAACUUACCUGCGGGACCGGGUUAACAGCAGGAAACUGCUGACAAGACCGGAUAAGGUCAUUAAGCUGCAUAGCUUAGUGAUGAAAGGAGACGCCUGCGGAGAGCCUUGCGUCCUAUUAGCUAGUUGGAGGGGUAACGGCCCACCAAGGCGAAGAUAGGUAGCCGGCCUGAGAGGGUGGACGGCCACAAGGGGACUGAGAUACGGCCCUUACUCCUACGGGAGGCAGCAGUGGGGAAUAUUGGACAAUGGGGGCAACCCUGAUCCAGCAAUUCUGUGUGCACGAAGACGGUUUUCGGAUUGUAAAGUGCUUUCAGCAGGGAAGAAGGAAGUGACGGUACCUGCAGAAGAAGCGACGGCUAAAUACGUG